Podarcis lilfordi (Lilford's wall lizard) is the source of this 71-nucleotide non-coding RNA. The record is from the annotation of a GenBank genome assembly. NCBI's taxonomy places the organism in Eukaryota, Metazoa, Chordata, Lepidosauria, Squamata, Lacertidae.
GGACCACGGCUCAAUGGCAGAGCAUCUACUCUGCAUGCGGAAGGUUGCAGGUUCAAUCCCCGCUAUCUCCA